RNAcentral lists this long non-coding RNA (730 nucleotides) under Pan troglodytes (chimpanzee). RNAcentral describes it as "long non-coding RNA NONPTRT000885". Lineage: Eukaryota; Metazoa; Chordata; Mammalia; Primates; Hominidae. The record is from RNAcentral.
AACAGAUGGCACAUUCAAAUGAGGAUAAAGUGCUUACUAAAAGGUGUGGAGAAACUGUUAUGUGCUGAGUGUGUCUCCUUUCCCCCCGGUUUCAUAUGUUCAAGUCCCAACCCUCAGUACCUCCAACUGUAACCAUAUUUUGAAGUAACGUCUUUUAAAAAAUAAUUUAAUUUCAUUUUAAAAGUUGACACACAAUAAUUGUGCAUAUUUAAGGGGUACAUAGUGAUGUUUUGAUACAUAUAAUGUAUAGUGAUCAGAUCAGAGUAAUUAGCAUAUCCAUCAUCUCAAAUCUUUAUUUUUUUGUGUGUUGGGAACAUUCAAUGUCUUCUUUCUAGCUAUUUGACACUGUAUAAUAUAUUAUUGUAAACUAUAGUCAUCCUACAGUGGUGCAGAACAGCGGUCCCCAACGUUUUUGGCACCAGGAACUGGUUUCAUGGAAGACAGGUUUUCCCCAGAUUGGCGGGGUGGGGGGAUGGUUUGGGGAUGAUUCAAGUACAUUAUAUUUAUUGUGCACUUUAUUAUUAUGAUAUUGUAAUAUAUAAUGAAAUAAUUAUACAAGUCACCAUAAUGUAGAAUCAAUGGGAGCCCUGAGCUUGUUUUCUUACAACUAGAUGGUCCCAUCUGAGGGUGAUGGGAAUCAGUGACAGAUCAUCGGGCAUUAGAUUCUCAAUUCUCCUAAGGAGCUCACAACCUAGAUCCCUUGCAUGCACAGUUCACAAGAGGGUUCACA